Molecule: ribosomal RNA, 598 nt
Filed under: uncultured bacterium
Lineage: Bacteria
Description: bacterial SSU rRNA
Rfam family: Bacterial small subunit ribosomal RNA
Source: RNAcentral
GAACGCUGGCGGCGUGCCUAACACAUGCAAGUCGUGCGGGGACGCCGGGAUAGCUUGCUAUCCUGGUGGUCCUAGCGGCGGACGGGUGAGUAACGCGUGAACAACCUACCCAGAAGACCGGGAUAACACCGGGAAACCGGUGCUAAUACCGGAUACGCUCACUGGGCGGCAUCGCCUGGUGAGGGAAGCUGGCCUCUGGUUCAAGCUAGCGCUUUUGGAUGGGUUCGCGUCCCAUUAGCUUGUUGGUAGGGUAAGGGCCUACCAAGGCGACGAUGGGUAGCCGGCCUGAGAGGGUGGUCGGCCACACUGGGACUGAGACACGGCCCAGACUCCUACGGGAGGCAGCAGUGGGGAAUAUUCCGCAAUGGGCGCAAGCCUGACGGAGCGACGCCGCGUGGGGGAUGAAGGCCUUCGGGUUGUAAACCCCUUUUCUGGGGGAAGAACGCCCUGUCUUCGAACAGGGGGCAGGAGUGACGGUACCCCAGGAAUAAGCCCCGGCUAACUACGUGCCAGCAGCCGCGGUAAUACGUAGGGGGCGAGCGUUGUCCGGAAUCACUGGGCGUAAAGGGCGCGUAGGCGGUCCGAGAAGUCGCAGGUG